GGUGACCCAGUUACACAUACAUGUAUACAUUCUUUUUCCUCACAUUAUCAUGUUCCAUCACAAGUGACCAGACAUAGUUCCCAUGAUACACAGCAGGAUCUCAUUGUUAAUCCAUUCCAGAGGCAAUAGUUUGCAUCUAUUAACCCCAAGCUCCCAAUCCACCCCACUCCCUCCUCCUCCCCCUUGGAAACCACAAUUCUAUUCUCCAAGUCCAUGAUUUUCUUGUCUGUGGAAAGGUUCAUUUGUGCCAUAUAUUAGAUUCCAGAUAUAAGUGGUAUCAUGUGGUAUUUGUCUUUCUCUUUCUCAUUCACUUCACUCACUAUGAGAGUCUCUAGUUCUGUCCAUGUUGCUGCAAAUGGCAUUAUUUCAUUCGUUCUUAUGGCUGAGUAGUAUUCAUUGUGUAUAUAUACAACCUCUUCCUGAUCCAGUCAUCUAUCAGUGGACAUUUGGGUUGAUUCCAUGUCUUGGCUAUUGUGAAUAGUGCUGCAAUGAACAUGUGGGUGCAUGUGUCUUUUUCAAGGAAAGCUUUGUCUGGAUAUAUGUCCAGAAGUGGGGUUGCUGGUCAUAUGGUAGUUCUAUGUAUAGAUUUCUAAGGCACCUCCAUAAUGUUCUCCAUAGUGGCUGUACCGGCUUACAUUCCCACCAACAGUGCAGGAGGGUUCCCUUUUCUCCAUACCCCCUCCAGCACUUGUUAUUUGUGGACUUAUUAAUGAUGGCCAUUCUGACUUGUGUGAGGCAGAUUUUUGAGCUCCUGGUUUUAUUGGGUCCUAUGAUCAAAGAUAUCAUAGGUCCCUGGAUCUCUCCUCCAAUACUUAUUUCCAAGUAAAUGCUUCCACCAACUGGAAGUAAAUGUGGAGGGUAGGCCAUACCUAUUGCAUGCAGGCUUUAUUCUCAGCAACUUGAGUAGUGCCUGGUACAACAUAUGUACUCAGCAAGCAACUGCUGAGUAAAUGUAUGCAGAGACUUUACCUACAAUAUUUCAUUGAAUUGACAAAAUCACACUUUGAGACAGAUGGGGUGAUCCCCAUUUCAAAUAGGAGGGAACGGAAGUAACAUCUGUGAUUUGCCCAAAGUUUACCUAACUAGUAUAAUGAAGAGAGCUAGGUUUUACUGCAGGCCUAUGUGACUGUGAAUCCUGGGUUUUGCUUUCUUGUUUUUGUUUUAUUUGGGACUUAUUAUAUAGGAAUAGUUCCUUUACACCAAAGCUAGAAAUUUCAAAUAAAAAUAUAAUAAGUGAAUAUUGAUCUAAUAUUCAAUUUUAAAAAUUCAAUACAUGUCAAAAGUAGUAUUAAGUUAUAGUAAUAAAUUAAGGUUUCUCUAACAAGAUUCAUAGAAAUUAUAUCUAAAUCAUGGUGUUAGGUGUUCUCUGUUUUCUUUUGUUUUUAUCAUACUCUCUUGAUCUUUUAUAUUCAGUACUUAGCAGUGAAUGAUGAUCAGUUUUAACAGAUAAGGUUAACAUUCUCACUGGCUUUUUGAACCUUAAAUCUAAGUUCCAUAUUUUUCUAAAAGUCAACCAAUGAAAAGUGUCUUUAACUUACCUACCUAAACAAAAGCAAUCUAAGGCUGGAGGAGCGUAAGAAUAUAAGGACAGAAGUCUGAGGGAAAGUGAUAACAUUAAUACAUUAAUUGAAUUGUAUCAUGUGCUAUGAGCAAGACUUUAUCUCAUUUAAUUCUAACAAAACUUUUAGGAAGUACUUUUUUGUUGUUGUUAUUUUUUGUUAUUUAUUUAUUUAAUUUUCUUACCUUGUAGAUGGGGGAAACAAAAAGAAGCUUGGACAGACUCAGUGACUUGCCCACAAUGAAACACCUAUUAAGCAGGAGAGAAAGAUUGUUCUGAUAACAACUGGUGUUGACUCCAUGAGGACUCUAUCAGGUCUCAAGAAGUUUCAUCUUAAAAAGCGACUGGAAUAUUAGGUUAUUUCAUUAUAAGCUAUAUUUUUUUAUCAUCUAAAAGUAAUGGCUUAUUUCUUCUCAAAUCCAGGAGAAAAAUUAUUGAUUCAAGGAGAUAAAACAUGAUAGGGUCCCCACCUUCUCCCCAGCACACACAGAGUGCUCAAUGUGAAAUGUAUAGGCAUUAAACAUUCUCUGUGAAUAUCAUUUGGUUCAACAGAGGUUUUGACUAGAGCUAGACAUAAAGAAAACAGGAUACAUGAGAGAGGGAAGGCUCCUAUAGCCACCACGUUUAUGUACAUCAUUUGCUGGAAAUGUUUUUCCAUCUAUUCUCUACUUGGAUAAAAAUAUAAGGGGAAGAAAAGAAAAGCAGAAAGUGAAAGAGUGAAUGGAAACAUUCAGUAGGUUGUACUUAUCAUCUGUUCCUGAGUUAAAGACUAAAAUAAAUCACCACUUCCCCUUCCCUCCAUAUCAUCCAUAUCACACUAUUUUCUAGUUGCUUUGAUUGCAAGAUAUAUCAGCUCACUGCCAACAUUUGAUUUAUGAUUCAGAACUAGGUGAUGAAUCAAGAAAAUACUGUUUUGCAUAAAGUUUCUGUGGCUGCUUGAAAAUUCUCCUGGGAAAUGCAACGUUUGUCCAUCUUUCACGGUAGUGAAUUUAGUGACAUGUACAAUGUAGUAAAAAGAGGAUAAAAAGAAGAAGAGAAACAGUUUGGUGUCUGGAAACCAAGUCUGUCAUAUUCACAGUAAGAAAGGAAAAUCACAAAGUUUGUUUUGUUUUUCUUUGUUAUAAGAAUCUGGCUUUGAGAAUAGUGGCAUUUUGCAGUCACCAUGGGAUAUGUUUGUCUGGGAAAAAAGGCUCUUCUGGUGAACAGUUCUCAAGGUGACCUGGUAGAUUAAGAAUUUAAACAAGAAAUGUCAACGGCAAAAAUGAGUGCUGAGGAGAAUAAUGUUAAUGCCUUCUGAGAAGAGAGCACAGAGAUUUAACAAUAAAUAAAGUUGGAGCUUUUGAUGUUUGGCACAAUUUCCUCAAAAAAAUUAUGUUCAAUUAUGGUUCAGGCCCGAGCACUACUCUAUAGUAUGUAGGUAGAAAUGCUUCUAAGACACUUAACCCCCAAAUUCAAGAUCUAUCUUAAAUGUUUUUCAAGAUACAAAUAAAACUCAAUGUAACCAUAAAAAAAAAAAAAGAUUUUCAGUUCUCAAUCAAUAGUAAUAUCCAAGUCAAAUGGAUUCAUCUGAUUCUGAGGUACAGAAAGUAUCAGGAUUCCUCAAAUUUUCUGGAAGAGGUGAGGGAAUGUUACACUUUGGCAGGUGUUGGGGAGGGUUAGAAAUAUUAAAAAUAAUCUAUUGUUGAAAUCAAACAGCUGAAGACAAGUCUGAAAAUUUUGUAUUAGACUACUCACAAUAUAAGAUUUCCA
RNAcentral lists this long non-coding RNA (3307 nucleotides) under Sus scrofa (pig). RNAcentral describes it as "lncRNA (ENSSSCG00025003571.1)". The record is from RNAcentral. Lineage: Eukaryota; Metazoa; Chordata; Mammalia; Artiodactyla; Suidae.